This 253-nucleotide ribosomal RNA is filed under the name uncultured bacterium. Its description in RNAcentral is "partial 16S ribosomal RNA". It matches the Rfam family "Bacterial small subunit ribosomal RNA", at positions 524 to 776 of the family's 1533-position model. The record is from RNAcentral.
UACGUAGGUGGCGAGCGUUGUCCGGAUUUACUGGGCGUAAAGGGAGCGUAGGCGGACUUUUAAGUGAGAUGUGAAAUACUCGGGCUCAACUUGAGUGCUGCAUUUCAAACUGGAAGUCUAGAGUGCAGGAGAGGAGAAUGGAAUUCCUAGUGUAGCGGUGAAAUGCGUAGAGAUUAGGAAGAACAUCAGUGGCGAAGGCGAUUCUCUGGACUGUAACUGACGCUGAGGCUCGAAAGCGUGGGGAGCAAACAGG